UACGGAGGAUCCGAGCGUUAUCCGGAUUUAUUGGGUUUAAAGGGUGCGCAGGCGGCCAUUUAAGUCAGCGGUUAAAUCGUGGGGCUCAACCCCAUUCUGCCGUUGAUACUGGGUGGCUUGAUUGCGGUCGAGGUUGGCGGAAUUCGUUGUGUAGCGGUGAAAUGCAUAGAUAUGACGAAGAACACCGAUUGCGUAGGCAGCUGACCAGACCGCAAAUGACGCUCAUGCACGAAAGUGCGGAGAUCGAACAGGAUUAGAUACCCUGGUAGUCCGCACAGUAAACGAUGAAUACUUGUUUUCAGCGAUAUAAUGUCGGAGGCAAAGCGAAAGCGAUAAGUAUUCCACCUGGGGAGUACGCCGGCAACGGUGAAACUCAAAUGAAUUGACGGGG
Molecule: ribosomal RNA, 391 nt
Filed under: uncultured bacterium
Lineage: Bacteria
Description: partial 16S ribosomal RNA
Rfam family: Bacterial small subunit ribosomal RNA
Source: RNAcentral